GACAGAGGUCCCAAGCGUUGUUCGGAUUCACUGGGCGUAAAGGGUGCGUAGGCGGUUGGGUAAGUCUGUCGUGAAAUCUCCGAGCCCAACUCGGAAACUGCGUCGGAUACUAUUCAACUCGAGGAAUGGAGGGGAGACUGGAAUUCUCGGUGUAGCAGUGAAAUGCGUAGAUAUCGAGAGGAACACCAGUGGCGAAGGCGAGUCUCUGGACAUUUCCUGACGCUGAGGCACGAAAGCCAGGGGAGCAAACGGG
RNAcentral lists this ribosomal RNA (253 nucleotides) under uncultured bacterium. RNAcentral describes it as "partial 16S ribosomal RNA". It matches the Rfam family "Bacterial small subunit ribosomal RNA", at positions 524 to 776 of the family's 1533-position model. The record is from RNAcentral.